RNAcentral lists this ribosomal RNA (483 nucleotides) under uncultured bacterium. Its description in RNAcentral is "partial 16S ribosomal RNA". It matches the Rfam family "Bacterial small subunit ribosomal RNA", at positions 29 to 507 of the family's 1533-position model. The record is from RNAcentral.
GUGCACGCUGGCGGCAGGCCUCACCCCUGCCAGUCGAGCGGCAGCGCGGGGGCAACCCUGGCGGCGAGCGGCGGACGGGUGAGGAAUUCGUCGGAAUCUGCCUUUUUGUGGGGGAUAACGUAGGGAAACUUACGCUAAUACCGCAUACGUCCUACGGGAGAAAGUGGGGGACCGCAAGGCCUCACGCAGAAAGAUGAGCCGACGACCGAUUAGCUAGUUGGUGGGGUAAAGGCCCACCAAGGCGACGAUCGGUAGCUGGUCUGAGAGGAUGAUCAGCCACACUGGGACUGAGACACGGCCCAGACUCCUACGGGAGGCAGCAGUGGGGAAUAUUGGACAAUGGGCGCAAGCCUGAUCCAGCCAUGCCGCGUGUGUGAAGAAGGCCUUCGGGUUGUAAAGCACUUUUGUCCGGAAAGAAAUCCCUGGAGCUAAUACCUUCGGGGGAUGACGGUACCGGAAGAAUAAGCACCGGCUAACUUCGUG